UAAUACGGAGGGUGCAAGCGUUAAUCGGAAUUACUGGGCGUAAAGCGCGCGUAGGCGGUUUGGUCAGUCAGAUGUGAAAGCCCCGGGCUCAACCUGGGAACUGCAUUUGAUACUGCUGAACUAGAGUAUGGUAGAGGGAAGUGGAAUUCCGGGUGUAGCGGUGAAAUGCGUAGAUAUCCGGAGGAACACCAGUGGCGAAGGCGACUUCCUGGACCAAUACUGACGCUGAGGUGCGAAAGCGUGGGUAGCAAACAGGAUUAGAUACCCUGGUAGUCCACGCCGUAAACGAUGUCAACUAGCCGUUGGGGCCAUUUAAGGCUUUAGUGGCGCAGCUAACGCGAUAAGUUGACCGCCUGGGGAGUACGGUCGCAAGAUUA
RNAcentral lists this ribosomal RNA (377 nucleotides) under uncultured Gammaproteobacteria bacterium. RNAcentral's name for it is "bacterial SSU rRNA". It matches the Rfam family "Bacterial small subunit ribosomal RNA", at positions 521 to 896 of the family's 1533-position model. Lineage: Bacteria; Pseudomonadati; Pseudomonadota; Gammaproteobacteria. The record is from RNAcentral.